AGCAGCCGCGGUAAUUCCAGCUCCAAUAGCGUAUAUUAAAGUUGUUGCAGUUAAAAAGCUCGUAGUUGAAUUUCGAGAUCAAAUUGUUGGUCGUGCCUUGGUACGCACUGGCAUUAUUGGUUUCUCCCUUCUGACGAACCAUGAUGUCAUUAAUUUGGUGUCUUGGGGAAUCAGGACUGUUACUUUGAAAAAAAUUAGAGUGUUUAAAGCAGGCUCACGCUUGAAUACAUUAGCAUGGAAUAAUGAAAUAGGACGUUUGAUUCUAUUUUGUUGGUUUCUAGGAUCGACGUAAUGAUUAAUAGGGAUAGUUGGGGGCAUUAGUAUUCAAUUGUCAGAGGUGAAAUCCUUGGAUUUAUUGAAGACUAACUACUGCGAAAGCAUUUGCCAAGGAUGUUUUCAUUAAUCAAGAACGAAAGUUAGGGGAUCGAAGACGAUCAGAUACCGUCGUAG
Molecule: ribosomal RNA, 450 nt
Filed under: uncultured Glomeromycotina
Lineage: Eukaryota; Fungi; Glomeromycota
Description: SSU rRNA
Rfam family: Eukaryotic small subunit ribosomal RNA
Source: RNAcentral